UGCUCUGCUAUCUGAACUGGACCGCCACGACAAGAUAAAAUGGAUAACAGAAAGUUUAUUCAAGAAUCGUUUGACAGACAACCCUUUCAAGAGAAUUGCAAGGGGAAAAAAAUCAAGAUUUGGAGGAAUUACCCACAGAGAUAGAAGUCUGUUUCCUUUGAUUUCUCCAAAAGAAGAAAAGAAGAGAGAAACUGGAUAACUGCUGGACUUUUCUACCAAGAGAUGCUAAAGUGCCUACCGAAUGAGAACACCUUUUCCCAAGGCAAAAAAAGAAAGUCAACAGAGCAAUCAGAACAAUAUUAUUCUCUGGGUUGGAAACAGGGUAUCUUGUUUACUGAAGUUUUCCAAGUAAAAAAAAAAAAUCAUUAUUUUAACGCAGACUUUUAAAACUGUGCAGAAAAAAUAAAGCUUCGAGCUGUCA
Non-coding RNA from Callorhinus ursinus (northern fur seal), 421 nucleotides. The record is from RefSeq and is a predicted model, not a curated record. NCBI's taxonomy places the organism in Eukaryota, Metazoa, Chordata, Mammalia, Carnivora, Otariidae.